Molecule: ribosomal RNA, 482 nt
Filed under: uncultured bacterium
Lineage: Bacteria
Description: partial 16S ribosomal RNA
Rfam family: Bacterial small subunit ribosomal RNA
Source: RNAcentral
AUUGAACGCUGGCGGCAUGCUUUACACGUGCAAGUCGAACGGUAACAGCACUUCGGUGGCUGACGAGUGGCGAACGGGUGAGUAAUACAUCGGAACGUGCCUAGUAGUGGGGGAUAACUACUCGAAAGAGUAGCUAAUACCGCAUGAGAUCUAAGGAUGAAAGCAGGGGACCUUCGGGCCUUGCGCUACUAGAGCGGCUGAUGGCAGAUUAGGAAGUUGGUGGGAUAAAAGCUUACCAAGCCGACGAUCUGUAGCUGGUCUGAGAGGACGACCAGCCACACUGGGACUGAGACACGGCCCAGACUCCUACGGGAGGCAGCAGUGGGGAAUUUUGGACAAUGGGCGCAAGCCUGAUCCAGCAAUGCCGCGUGCAGGAUGAAGGCCUUCGGGUUGUAAACUGCUUUUGUACGGAACGAAAAGCCCUCUUCUAAUACAGGAGGGUCAUGACGGUACCGUAAGAAUAAGCACCGGCUAACUACGUG